RNAcentral lists this ribosomal RNA (530 nucleotides) under Sphaerisporangium rufum. RNAcentral describes it as "bacterial SSU rRNA". It matches the Rfam family "Bacterial small subunit ribosomal RNA", at positions 31 to 582 of the family's 1533-position model. Lineage: Bacteria; Bacillati; Actinomycetota; Actinomycetes; Streptosporangiales; Streptosporangiaceae. The record is from RNAcentral.
GAACGCUGGCGGCGUGCUUAACACAUGCAAGUCGAGCGGAAAGGCCCUUCGGGGUACUCGAGCGGCGAACGGGUGAGUAACACGUGAGCAACCUGCCCUCAACUUCGGGAUAAGCCUGGGAAACCGGGUCUAAUACCGGAUACGACCUUGUGCCGCAUGGCGUGGGGUGGAAAGUUUUUUCGGUUGGGGAUGGGCUCGCGGCCUAUCAGCUUGUUGGUGGGGUAGUGGCCUACCAAGGCGACGACGGGUAGCCGGCCUGAGAGGGCGACCGGCCACACUGGGACUGAGACACGGCCCAGACUCCUACGGGAGGCAGCAGUGGGGAAUAUUGCGCAAUGGGCGGAAGCCUGACGCAGCGACGCCGCGUGGGGGAUGACGGCCUUCGGGUUGUAAACCUCUUUCAGCAGGGACGAAGUUGACGUGUACCUGUAGAAGAAGCGCCGGCUAACUACGUGCCAGCAGCCGCGGUAAUACGUAGGGCGCGAGCGUUGUCCGGAAUUAUUGGGCGUAAAGAGCUCGUAGGUGGCUUG